AUGUGGCCCCAACACUGCCUCCCUUCCCACCCCACAAUGUUAGAAGAAACUCAACAGAGAAAAUUGGCAGCAGCCAAGAAAAAGCUAAAAGAAUAUCAGCAGAGGAACAGCUCUGGUGUUCCGGCAGGAACGAAGACAAAAAAGAAAAAAACUGGCAGUAGCCCUGAGAGAACCACUUCUGGUGGCUGCCACUCACCUGGGGAUAGCUGGAACCAAGAACUGAAAGUAGCCCUGGACUCAAGCUCCGCAACAAUCAAUCAACUCUGUGAAAACAUAGAAUCAUUGAAGGGGUUGGAGCCCCUGGUGCCAAGGGCAAAUGGGGACCUGGAGCACCCAGGCCUCACCUGGAGGGACCCCAGAGCAAGGAGCAUGCAGCAUGGCUCUUCUGUCACUGCCCUCUUUGUUGACUCUCUCUUCUCCAGACACCCCUGCUCCGAAACAACAGAGAAACAAGUGGAACAUCAGCUGGAAAAAGAAAAGAAAGCAAACAAUGAAAUACACGAAGCACAGACGGAGCAGUUAGAGACAAUCAACAUCCUCACGCUGGAAAAGGCAGACUUGAAGACCACCCUUUACCAUACUAAACGUGCCGCCAGAUGCUUCAAAGAAGAGUCCAAGGAUCUGGCCGGCCGCCUGCAAUCCUCCUUACAGCGUAUUCAAGAAUUGGAGCGGGCUCUCUCUGCUGUGUGUACACAGCAGCGGGAAGAGGACAGGUCCUCGAGCCGCAGUGAAGCAGUCCUCCAGCGGCAGUUACAGCAGACCAGAAAGGAGCGGGCGCUGCUGAACGCACACGUGACACAGGUGACAGAGUCACUUAAACAAGUCCAGCUAGAGAGAGAUGAAUAUGCUCAACAUAUAAAAGGAGAGAGGGCCCAGUGGCAGGAGAGGAUGUGGAAAAUGUCGAUGGAGGCUCACGCAUUGAAGGAGGAGAAGAAGCGUGACAUACAUCGGAUACAGGAGCUGGAGAGGAGCUUGUCCGAACGCAAACCCCAGAUGGCUGAGCCCUCAUCCUCAGCACCCCCAGCAGGGACCUCUGAGGUGGAACAGCUACAAGAUGAAGCCAAACACCUGAGGAAGGAGGUGGAAAGUCUGGAGGGAAAGCUCCAAUCCCAGGUGGAAAACAAUCAGGCCUUGACUCUCCUGAACAAGGAACAAAAGGAGAGACUCCAGGAGCAGGAGGAGAGGCUCUGAGAGCAGCAGGAGAGACUUCAAAAGCAGGAGGAGAAGAUCCAAGAGCAGGAGGAAAGGAGGCUGCAGGAGCAGGAGAGACUGUGUGAGCAAAAGGAGAGGCUUCGGGAGAAGCAGAAGAGGCUGUGGGAGAAGGAGGAGAGGCUACGAAAGCAGGAGGAGAGGCUGCGAAUGCAGGAGGAGAGGCUCCUGCUCUCCCAGAACCACAAGUUCGACAAGCAGCUGGCUGAGCCACAAUGUGACUUGGAGGAUCUGAACAAUGAGAACAAAAGCACACUGCAGUUGGAGCAGCAAAUAAAGGAGCUGCAGGAGAAGCUGAGCAAGGAGUGCCUAGAAGCUGCCGGCCAGCAGAACCAACAGCUGGAGGCCCAGCUGAGUCUCAUGGCUCUCCCUGGACAAGGAAAUGAAGGAGGACAUCUGGACGGUGAGGAGGAGGAGGUGCCUCAGCUCAUGCCAAGCAUCCCAAAGGGCCUGGAGAGCCAGGAGGCCAUGAGCGGCUUUAUGGACCUCCCAAAGGAGAAGGUGGAUGGGAAGGAGCAGGUGGAGAAUCUAGAGCUUGGAUUCAUCCAGCUCUCUGGAGCAACAGACGGCAUGAGAGAGUACUUCACCAUAUAUGGGAGCCAAGGGGCAGUCCCAAACACGCGGCACCAGGAGGAGGAGGACGUCAGCAGUCUGGCCCAGAAUGAGGAGGAGAUGAACGUGAAGCUGCUGGAGCUGCAGGAGCUGGUGUUGCCGCUUGUGGGUGACCACGAGGGGCAUGACAAAUUCCUCCCCACUGCCCAGAACCCUGCUGAUGAGCCCGCUCCAGGGGCCACAGCCCCCCAGGAACUUGGGGCUGCCCAUGAGCAGGGUGAUUUUUAUGAGGUGAGCCUGGCCAACAGCAUGGAGCCUGCACCAGGAGAGGCCAGGGAGGGUUCUCCCCAUGACAACCCCACUGCACAGAAGAUUGUACAGCUGCUUCCUGUAAUGCAGGACACCCAGGAGCACCCAGGCUUUGCCAGCAAACCCUGCGUGCCAUUCUUUUACCGGGCAGCUGAGAACAGAGAGAUAAAAAUCAUCAUCAUCUAAGAGCUGGUCAAGAAAUUAAAAAAAAAAAAAAACAAUUAUGGGGUUAAUCCCCUACACAAUUCAUCUACUUCAUUGGAAUGUUAGAGCCCCUCAUGUUUAUUUAUGUUUCUAAUUUACAGUUUAAAUUUCUUUCUGAAAAGUUAAGGGAGAGUGGGUCUUUCCCUGAUGUUCACUCUG
This is an RNA transcript of Mandrillus leucophaeus (drill), 2433 nucleotides long. It is a transcript of the gene named putative golgin subfamily A member 6C, with no coding region annotated. The transcript is spliced from 19 exons. The record is from RefSeq and is a predicted model, not a curated record. NCBI's taxonomy places the organism in Eukaryota, Metazoa, Chordata, Mammalia, Primates, Cercopithecidae.